This 123-nucleotide small RNA is filed under the name Marmota monax (woodchuck). Lineage: Eukaryota; Metazoa; Chordata; Mammalia; Rodentia; Sciuridae. The record is from RNAcentral.
GCUGGGUGCAGUGUGCACACCUGUAUCCCAGCUGCUCUGGAGGCUGAGACAGGAGGAUCACUAGUUCAAAGCCAGCCUUAGCAAAAGUGAGGUGCUAAGCAACUCAGUGAGACCUUAUCUCUA